CAGGAGAGGGAGGAGCCGCGGAUCCACACCAGCAGCGCCGUUACACGGGUCAAAGUUGAGGGGAAAAUUCUAUGGGCGGGACUUCUCUUUGAUUGACAGGUGGAUUGUCGUAUCGAUGGUCUGGUAGCCAUUCCCGGAAAUGGAGACUCGGUCGGUGCAAAUAGUGGUGCAAGUUGAGGAGUUAGUGUUUGAUAGUAAAUUGUUCAGUUCAGUCUCAUGGCAGAAGGGUGUUGCCGGAGAGCAUGUGGGGUAAAGAGUCUGUUGGAGGGGUUAUUUACAAUGCUGGUGGCUCUGCAGACUCAGCUUUUAUGGGUCGUGGGGAAACCUGGAGCCUAUCCCAGGGAGCAUCGGGCACAAGGCGGGGUACACCCUGGACAGGCUGCCAAUCCAUCGCAGGGCACACUCACAUACACACUCACACACCCAUCCAUACACUACGGACACUUUGGACAUGCCAGUCAACCUACCAUGCAUGUCUUUUGGACUGGGGGAGGAAACUGGAGUACCCGGAGGAAACCCCCGCAGCAGGGGGAGAACAUGCAAACUCCGCACACACAGGGCCACGGUGGGAAUCGAACCCCCGACCCUGGAGGUGUGAGGCGAACCACUAAGCCACUGUGUGCCCAUUUUCGCUAUCUGCUGUAGGUUAUUCCAACAGUGCAUUUCUCCAGUUUCUGGCCAUUUUGGAACCCUAGGUUAAGAAACUGCUUAUCAUGGCGAAUGGAAGGAAAACCUGAUGUUGACUAUAUUCAUGUGGCAAGCAUGGAGGAGAAAAAAAUCAAUUGCACUUGCAGUUUGCACUGCCACGUAUACUCGGUGCAAAAGAUUUUUUUUUUUUUAAUGACCUUAUCUACCACCACUAUGAUUAACAUCAUUGCUAUUUAUACCACAGAGCUGGACAAUUUUCAAAUCUGAAAGAAGGUCAGCAGGUGUGAUGGCUGUAAUUCAAAUCACAGGUUUAUAUGUGCUCAUCAUAUUAUAUUAUUGUUUCUAUAGAAACAGCUAUGUCACAGGGACUUGUAUGGUGGCCGAUCCAUAUUAUUAUAAAAAGUUUUAUAAAAAAUGAUGUUAUUUGACAAAGACAUGUAAUCAUUGAUACGGUGAAGCUUUCUGUAAGUUUAUUUAACAUUUAUGGAUGGAGUCUCCAGUACAAGUGCUUUGUAAAGAUUGGUAAGUUUUCUACCAUGGGAAAGAAUUUAGCACACUUUAGUUUGCACUUUGUGGUAUCUCAGUAACAUGACAAGCUGUGUUUUUAUUGUUGUUGUUGUUGUUGUUGUUUUAUGAAAUUCAAUACAGAGAAAAAUUAAGAGGGGGGUGAGGGAAUGACUGUUUAUAGCUGCCAUAAUGUAAGUGAUAACAGGACUUAGCUUGUCUCAUUGAUGACAUCUAAGUAUUUCUCAUCAAUCUACAAAACAAAGUCCAUAAUAAUAUAAAGCAUAAACAGGCUUUCACAAUUGUUUGUAAAUGUAUUUUGUAAAUGUACACAAUUGUUUGUAAACCUGUGGUAAAUUGUGUUUGUUGAACAUGCAAAAAAAAAAAAGAAAAAGAAUUUAACCUAUUACGGCUAUGAUAUAACAACAAGAGAGAAAAAAAUAAGAGGGUUCUGAAUACGUUCUACAUUUCCAAGAGAUUAAAUGCAUACAGUAGGAUACUUCACUGUUUUAUCUACAGCAACAAAGAAAACAGAGAUAAUGUUGGAAAUAAAGCAAGUCAUUUGAAGUUUUGAAGUGUUUCUGAUUUAAUUUAUGUUUACUCAUGAUUACAUUUCGGUGACAGCAGCAUCCUUUACUUAUGUGAUACACAACCUUGUUUGGCUAUGGAAGGCUACACUAUGAAAAGUGCUCCUGUAUGUAGUUCUUCCCACUGUUCUUUACUAACUGGCUAAGGCAGAGAACAUCUAAUCUCUUCCUAAACCUCUUUCCCUCUCCGGACACGCUGUCAUUUUCCUACCACUCUCUCUCCUCUCAUUCCUUCCUCACACUUGAUUAACAGUGAGAAAGAACACCAAGCUCUCGACAGGGGAUUCUGGCUAGGGAAGUAGGUGUCUAUACAUUAAUGUGGGUAUGUGCUGUGUGUGUAUUAUUCUUGUCACAGAUGUUUUCUCUGAAUAAUGGAUGCUAUAAAUAUAGUGCUGAAUAGACAAUAGACAAUAUUUCCCAAUCCUGGUCUUGGAGUACCACCACCUGCACAUUUUAGUGUUUCCUCUCCUGUAAUGUGUAAUAAAGUUUGUCGUGCCCGGAUACACUGACUCUCGAGGAAUUAAUGAAAUCCCAAAAUCCAGUCGUUCUAAUUCACACUCCUGUUCCUCAGUUUCAUUUGUUGUAAACUAGAUAUAUAGCACACCUCCGCACUGGGAUCGUGAGGUUUUGUGAUCAUCUGGUGUAGUUAUGAGAACUUUUGUCAGUUCUGCUUGUCUGGUUUUUAAUGUUGCACUGAUGUUUCUCCACAUCACUCUGUAUGUGCUUUGAAGUGUUUUUGACUAUGCUUCUGCCAUUUUGAUUCUGCCAGUUGUAUCUGUCUGCUUCCACCUCUUCAUGGCACACUAGUAGAAGGAUCUUGGACCCAGACCUCCAUGCAGAAUGUUUCAAUCUCGUUUAUAUUCUGAAGUUUGUGCCUAGGGACUGCCUUCUUCAGUUAAGAGAACAUGUUUUCAUUAGAAAUGCAACACUUCACAUGUGGGAGUGUCCCAGACCAGCCACACAAUCAGGAAUUUCUGCACAAACAGUCAGAAUUUGUCUUUGGGAAAGAUGCUCGAUGUCCUUAUCGGGACACUGAUCCCGAUAACUGACGUGAGUGGGUAACAGUUCACCUGCACCUCUGCUGAUGCUGAGAAUGUCACCCUGAAGCUCGGUGUCAAACCAUUCAUCCAUCACAAUCAUCUUGAAUGCCUCCAUGUGGCAUGCUUUCUGGCAGCUCAAUAUGUUCCAGUUCUUCCAUGGCCUGUAUACUUGCAUCAUCUUUGUGAUGCAUGGAUCAGUGCGUAUGACAGCAUGUUCCAGCUCCCACAAAUAUCCAAAAAUUUUAUAUAGCUAUAGCAGAACCUGAUCAAAUCUAUGUGAAGGAGAUGUCACAUUGCUACAGGCAAGUCGUGCUCACACCAGAUAUAAAUGUGGUAGUUCUGUUUCACAACCCACACAGUUUUUGGGGUAUCAGCGAACAAGGGAGGCAUAUUUGUAUUCUCAAACUAGUUGAAAUCAAUAGAUAAGAACCUACUGAUUCUAUUUCGGUUGAUGGAUUUCCAUUUGUUAGCUUAUUUUCAGUACAAUCUUUGAAAUGGCUGGGUUUUGUGUUUAUGUUUUUGGGACUGUGAUCUUAAGAACUUCAUCAUAACAAAGUCUUAACCUCCUGGCUGAGACAACCAGGUUUGUGGUUAAAUAUUCUGGUACUCGGUGAACGUCAUGAUGGCAUCAAAUAUCAAGAGCCCCUGAACCACCAGCCACACCACAACCCCAAAGCAUCAGUGAUCCACCACCACCCAUCCACAAUUUACAGUGUGUUUGGGUCUUUUUCUUGUAUGUAGCCUCCUUUUUUGCAUGAAUAUUUAAAUUUUGUUCUCAUCUGACCAGAAGACAGAUUUCAACUGUAGUUCCAAUGACGCGUGUUGAAAUUCAGCUGCUGAAUUUUGUGUGUUGUUUUUAAGAAGGGUUUCCGUCUUGAGACCAUUUCAAGUAACUUGUUAUAUCUUUGGUGUAUAAUAUGAUGUAUAAUUUGAUGUACAAUGUGCAAUUGAAAUAAAUGAAACUGCGGUUAUUGGGCUCUUGUCUCGCUCAGAAUUCUCCUCACAGUAUGAUCACAUGUCUUCUUCCCGAGAAAUUUCUAAGUGAGACUUUUUAAAGUCUUCGAAAUGCUUCUGAAACUCUUUGUAACUCCAGACUUUUGAUACAUUUUUAUUAUGGCCUUGAUUGUGCAGAUUUUUUAAUAUUAAGUACACAUGAAUAUUGAUUAAAUGAUUUUGUGUAGGUAAAUAUCGAUCUGUCUCUUUAUGUUGAUUGUUCUUCGGUUUUCCCCAAAGGCAACAACAGAGUUUCUGGAAACUGAAAGUAAAAUGUAAAGAAAAUGAUUUGUUGAAAGAUGCCAAUUUGUUGCAUUUUAAAUAUUCCCCAGUGGUGUCGAUUUUUUUUUGUUGUUGUUGCAAUUAUGUAAAUGGAAAUUUUUAUGCACUAUAUGUAAUGUUUAUUUUAUACAAUCAGUUUUGCCAAUUAUUUUAAAGGUUACCAAUAUAUCUGAAGAAAUAGUCCCUGUUACACUGAAAAUAAUUUAUUUAUUUAAUUUAAUGACAUUAAAGGUGCAUAGACUUUUUGUAUUGCAGUGGAAUCCAUAGUAUAGUGAAAUCUCUGAUGUGCAACCACUGAAAAUCAUGUUCCUACAUCGUUUCAAAGGCUGAUACGAUGAGUGCAUAAUGCUUG
Long non-coding RNA from Ictalurus punctatus (channel catfish), 4406 nucleotides. RefSeq lists it as uncharacterized. The record is from RefSeq and is a predicted model, not a curated record. The transcript is spliced from 4 exons. Lineage: Eukaryota; Metazoa; Chordata; Actinopteri; Siluriformes; Ictaluridae.